UACUGUGUGGAAGGGGGAUGAAUUCAUU
Molecule: non-coding RNA, 28 nt
Filed under: Cricetulus griseus (Chinese hamster)
Lineage: Eukaryota; Metazoa; Chordata; Mammalia; Rodentia; Cricetidae
Source: RNAcentral